Molecule: ribosomal RNA, 555 nt
Filed under: Paenibacillus polymyxa
Lineage: Bacteria; Bacillati; Bacillota; Bacilli; Caryophanales; Paenibacillaceae
Description: bacterial SSU rRNA
Rfam family: Bacterial small subunit ribosomal RNA
Source: RNAcentral
UGAUGACUACUCAGGACGACGCUGGCGGCGUGCCUAAUACAUGCAAGUCGAGCGGGGUUAUUUAGAAGCUUGCUUCUAAAUAACCUAGCGGCGGACGGGUGAGUAACACGUAGGCAACCUGCCCACAAGACAGGGAUAACUACCGGAAACGGUAGCUAAUACCCGAUACAUCCUUUUCCUGCAUGGGAGAAGGAGGAAAGGCGGAGCAAUCUGUCACUUGUGGAUGGGCCUGCGGCGCAUUAGCUAGUUGGUGGGGUAAUGGCCUACCAAGGCGACGAUGCGUAGCCGACCUGAGAGGGUGAUCGGCCACACUGGGACUGAGACACGGCCCAGACUCCUACGGGAGGCAGCAGUAGGGAAUCUUCCGCAAUGGGCGAAAGCCUGACGGAGCAACGCCGCGUGAGUGAUGAAGGUUUUCGGAUCGUAAAGCUCUGUUGCCAGGGAAGAACGUCUUGUAGAGUAACUGCUACAAGAGUGACGGUACCUGAGAAGAAAGCCCCGGCUAACUACGUGCCAGCCGCCGCGGUAAUUCGUCGUGACUGGGAACCCCCUUGG